GACGAACGCUGGCGGCGUGCUUAACACAUGCAAGUCGAACGGAAAGGCCCUGCUUUUGUGGGGUGCUCGAGUGGCGAACGGGUGAGUAACACGUGAGUAACCUGCCCUUGACUUUGGGAUAACUUCAGGAAACUGGGGCUAAUACCGGAUAGGAGCUCCUGCUGCAUGGUGGGGGUUGGAAAGUUUCGGCGGUUGGGGAUGGACUCGCGGCUUAUCAGCUUGUUGGGGGGGUAGGGGCUUACCAGGGCUUUGACGGGUAGCCGGCCUGAGAGGGUGACCGGCCACAUUGGGACUGCGAUACGGCCCAGACUCCUACGGGAGGCAGCAGUGGGGAAUCUUGCACAAUGGGCGGACGCCUGUUGCAGCAACGCCGCGUGCGGGAUGACGGCCUUCGGGUUGUAAACCGCUUUCGCCUGUGACGAAGCGUGAGUGACGGUAAUGGGUAAAGAAGCACCGGCUAACUACGUG
Molecule: ribosomal RNA, 468 nt
Filed under: uncultured bacterium
Lineage: Bacteria
Description: partial 16S ribosomal RNA
Rfam family: Bacterial small subunit ribosomal RNA
Source: RNAcentral